GGGUUGUGAGGUUAAGCGACUAAGCGUACACGGUGGAUGCCCUGGCAGUCAGAGGCGAUGAAGGACGUGCUAAUCUGCGAUAAGCGUCGGUAAGGUGAUAUGAACCGUUAUAACCGGCGAUUUCCGAAUGGGGAAACCCAGUGUGUUUCGACACACUAUCAUUAACUGAAUCCAUAGGUUAAUGAGGCGAACCGGGGGAACUGAAACAUCUAAGUACCCCGAGGAAAAGAAAUCAACCGAGAUUCCCCCAGUAGCGGCGAGCGAACGGGGAGCAGCCCAGAGCCUGAAUCAGUGUGUGUGUUAGUGGAAGCGUCUGGAAAGGCGCGCGAUACAGGGUGACAGCCCCGUACACAAAAAUGCACAUGCUGUGAGCUCGAUGAGUAGGGCGGGACACGUGGUAUCCUGUCUGAAUAUGGGGGGACCAUCCUCCAAGGCUAAAUACUCCUGACUGACCGAUAGUGAACCAGUACCGUGAGGGAAAGGCGAAAAGAACCCCGGCGAGGGGAGUGAAAAAGAACCUGAAACCGUGUACGUACAAGCAGUGGGAGCCUCUUUAUGGGGUGACUGCGUACCUUUUGUAUAAUGGGUCAGCGACUUAUAUUCUGUAGCAAGGUUAACCGAAUAGGGGAGCCGAAGGGAAACCGAGUCUUAACUGGGCGUUAAGUUGCAGGGUAUAGACCCGAAACCCGGUGAUCUAGCCAUGGGCAGGUUGAAGGUUGGGUAACACUAACUGGAGGACCGAACCGACUAAUGUUGAAAAAUUAGCGGAUGACUUGUGGCUGGGGGUGAAAGGCCAAUCAAACCGGGAGAUAGCUGGUUCUCCCCGAAAGCUAUUUAGGUAGCGCCUCGUGAAUUCAUCUCCGGGGGUAGAGCACUGUUUCGGCAAGGGGGUCAUCCCGACUUACCAACCCGAUGCAAACUGCGAAUACCGGAGAAUGUUAUCACGGGAGACACACGGCGGGUGCUAACGUCCGUCGUGAAGAGGGAAACAACCCAGACCGCCAGCUAAGGUCCCAAAGUCAUGGUUAAGUGGGAAACGAUGUGGGAAGGCCCAGACAGCCAGGAUGUUGGCUUAGAAGCAGCCAUCAUUUAAAGAAAGCGUAAUAGCUCACUGGUCGAGUCGGCCUGCGCGGAAGAUGUAACGGGGCUAAACCAUGCACCGAAGCUGCGGCAGCGACGCUGAUGCGUUGUUGGGUAGGGGAGCGUUCUGUAAGCCUGCGAAGGUGUGCUGUGAGGCAUGCUGGAGGUAUCAGAAGUGCGAAUGCUGACAUAAGUAACGAUAAAGCGGGUGAAAAGCCCGCUCGCCGGAAGACCAAGGGUUCCUGUCCAACGUUAAUCGGGGCAGGGUGAGUCGACCCCUAAGGCGAGGCCGAAAGGCGUAGUCGAUGGGAAACAGGUUAAUAUUCCUGUACUUGGUGUUACUGCGAAGGGGGGACGGAGAAGGCUAUGUUGGCCGGGCGACGGUUGUCCCGGUUUAAGCGUGUAGGCUGGUUUUCCAGGCAAAUCCGGAAAAUCAAGGCUGAGGCGUGAUGACGAGGCACUACGGUGCUGAAGCAACAAAUGCCCUGCUUCCAGGAAAAGCCUCUAAGCAUCAGGUAACAUCAAAUCGUACCCCAAACCGACACAGGUGGUCAGGUAGAGAAUACCAAGGCGCUUGAGAGAACUCGGGUGAAGGAACUAGGCAAAAUGGUGCCGUAACUUCGGGAGAAGGCACGCUGAUAUGUAGGUGAAGCGACUUGCUCGUGGAGCUGAAAUCAGUCGAAGAUACCAGCUGGCUGCAACUGUUUAUUAAAAACACAGCACUGUGCAAACACGAAAGUGGACGUAUACGGUGUGACGCCUGCCCGGUGCCGGAAGGUUAAUUGAUGGGGUUAGCGGUAACGCGAAGCUCUUGAUCGAAGCCCCGGUAAACGGCGGCCGUAACUAUAACGGUCCUAAGGUAGCGAAAUUCCUUGUCGGGUAAGUUCCGACCUGCACGAAUGGCGUAAUGAUGGCCAGGCUGUCUCCACCCGAGACUCAGUGAAAUUGAACUCGCUGUGAAGAUGCAGUGUACCCGCGGCAAGACGGAAAGACCCCGUGAACCUUUACUAUAGCUUGACACUGAACAUUGAGCCUUGAUGUGUAGGAUAGGUGGGAGGCUUUGAAGUGUGGACGCCAGUCUGCAUGGAGCCGACCUUGAAAUACCACCCUUUAAUGUUUGAUGUUCUAACGUUGACCCGUAAUCCGGGUUGCGGACAGUGUCUGGUGGGUAGUUUGACUGGGGCGGUCUCCUCCUAAAGAGUAACGGAGGAGCACGAAGGUUGGCUAAUCCUGGUCGGACAUCAGGAGGUUAGUGCAAUGGCAUAAGCCAGCUUGACUGCGAGCGUGACGGCGCGAGCAGGUGCGAAAGCAGGUCAUAGUGAUCCGGUGGUUCUGAAUGGAAGGGCCAUCGCUCAACGGAUAAAAGGUACUCCGGGGAUAACAGGCUGAUACCGCCCAAGAGUUCAUAUCGACGGCGGUGUUUGGCACCUCGAUGUCGGCUCAUCACAUCCUGGGGCUGAAGUAGGUCCCAAGGGUAUGGCUGUUCGCCAUUUAAAGUGGUACGCGAGCUGGGUUUAGAACGUCGUGAGACAGUUCGGUCCCUAUCUGCCGUGGGCGCUGGAGAACUGAGGGGGGCUGCUCCUAGUACGAGAGGACCGGAGUGGACGCAUCACUGGUGUUCGGGUUGUCAUGCCAAUGGCACUGCCCGGUAGCUAAAUGCGGAAGAGAUAAGUGCUGAAAGCAUCUAAGCACGAAACUUGCCCCGAGAUGAGUUCUCCCUGACUCCUUGAGAGUCCUGAAGGAACGUUGAAGACGACGACGUUGAUAGGCCGGGUGUGUAAGCGCAGCGAUGCGUUGAGCUAACCGGUACUAAUGAACCGUGAGGCUUAACCUUACAACGCCGAAG
RNAcentral lists this ribosomal RNA (2926 nucleotides) under Escherichia coli. RNAcentral's name for it is "23S ribosomal RNA". It matches the Rfam family "Bacterial large subunit ribosomal RNA". The record is from RNAcentral. Lineage: Bacteria; Pseudomonadati; Pseudomonadota; Gammaproteobacteria; Enterobacterales; Enterobacteriaceae.